AUGUCAACCUCUGGAUCGUGUCCAGGGUGUCCCAGGAGAGAGCCAGGGCCAUUAGGAGCAGCACGGCCCUGCUCAGAUAUGCAGUCACCCUCCCUGAGUUUGACAUCUCAGCAGAGUUCCCUAGGAUGGGUCACCACGUGGCACAGCUGGCUCUGUUUGUCAGUGACCCAGACAAGGACAUCAGCCGGCAGGCCAGGGAGGGGACUUACCGGCUCUACCAGCUGCUGCUCCAACAGAGGGGGCUGACCAUACAUGAAGCAGAAGAUCUGUGGUUCCACGACUGGCACCAGGACAGCAGGCUCCUGGGCUAUAAGAACACAGCCAGGGUGGGGGAGGUAAGGACACUGUGGCAGGGUAUGACACAGCUCAGGGAGUGGGGCUGGCUGGGGUCCCUGCAGUGGAUGCUUCCUGGAGACAGGACAAGAGCCCACUCCUUAUUUCCAGCUCAGAGUUCCUCACCCAGCACCCAGUGGGACAGGCUGGUGCUAAAGGUCCCACACUGGAACCUCGCUAGUUGCCGUGAUUUGAGUGUCUUACAUGGAGCCAUUGCUAUGUGGCAUAAGCAGAAUCCCCAGGUGGGUGAGCUAAGAUAGGAUUAUGGCUCUGGGUGUCUCUCUGCUCCUUGUCCCCCUGGCUGAUCCCCAAGUGUGUGAGAGGAGAGCACUGGGUCAGUCAGUCACUAUUGCUUGAUGAGACCCUUGUUUAAUUCCCUGCACCCUGGAGAAGCAGAGAAAA
Mauremys reevesii (Reeves's turtle) is the source of this 735-nucleotide long non-coding RNA. RefSeq lists it as uncharacterized. The transcript is spliced from 3 exons. NCBI's taxonomy places the organism in Eukaryota, Metazoa, Chordata, Testudines, Geoemydidae. The record is from RefSeq and is a predicted model, not a curated record.